RNAcentral lists this ribosomal RNA (508 nucleotides) under uncultured bacterium. RNAcentral's name for it is "partial 16S ribosomal RNA". It matches the Rfam family "Bacterial small subunit ribosomal RNA", at positions 28 to 507 of the family's 1533-position model. The record is from RNAcentral.
GACGAACGCUGGCGGCGUGCCUAAUACAUGCAAGUCGAACGCUUCUUUCCUCCCGAGUGCUUGCACUCAAUUGGAAAGAGGAGUGGCGGACGGGUGAGUAACACGUGGGUAACCUACCCAUCAGAGGGGGAUAACACUUGGAAACAGGUGCUAAUACCGCCUAAAAGUUUAUGCCGCAUGGCAUAAGAGUGAAAGGCGCUUUCGGGUGUCGCUGAUGGAUGGACCCGCGGUGCAUUAGCUAGUUGGUGAGGUAACGGCUCACCAAGGCCACGAUGCAUAGCCGACCUGAGAGGGUGAUCGGCCACACUGGGACUGAGACACGGCCCAGACUCCUACGGGAGGCAGCAGUAGGGAAUCUUCGGCAAUGGACGAAAGUCUGACCGAGCAACGCCGCGUGAGUGAAGAAGGUUUUCGGAUCGUAAAACUCUGUUGUUAGGGAAGAACAAGGACGUUAGUAACUGAACGUCCCCUGACGGUAUCUAAACAGAAAGCCACGGCUAACUACGUG